GGCUGAGGCUGCAUCCGCGGUAAUCCCGGGCGAAACACUCUGAUUAAAGGGAUUACCCCUGAAACUAAUUUCAAAGGCUGGGAUAGACCAGACGAGAGCCGCGAGGGAAGAGGGGCGAGGA
Salarias fasciatus (jewelled blenny) is the source of this 121-nucleotide long non-coding RNA. RefSeq lists it as uncharacterized. The transcript has 3 exons. The record is from RefSeq and is a predicted model, not a curated record. NCBI's taxonomy places the organism in Eukaryota, Metazoa, Chordata, Actinopteri, Blenniiformes, Blenniidae.